GGAUGCCAGACCACCAGACCAAGGUUUAUAGCUGGGUGUGAUGUUAGCUGGUGAAGCCUGGUGGAAGAGGUGGCUCAUUGUGUGAGUGGCCUGGAAUGGAAUACAUCCCUCCUCUUCCCUUGAUGGCUGCUGCUUCCCACCUGCCAUGCCCCUCUGCCAUGCUGCCCUACCCUGGAGCCAACUGACUAUGAACUGAAACUUUUACAAACUUUCUUUUCCUGUUCAGGGAUGGAGUUGCCCCUGAAGCCUGAACUGAGCCUCCAGCAAUCUUAACCAAGCAGAUCAGGCCGCUGGCAGGUUAGAAGGAAAUAACUGGAAUUCAGGUACUGAUGGACUUUCCUUAAUGUGCUGCCCAAAUAUUGUGGUAAAUACUGCAUGAGAUGCUGGGGAUCAAAGCCAAGACCUCAUACAUGCUUGGGCUCAGGAUGCAUGUGAUGACACUUCACGUUACGAAAUAGAAAACCAAGUGACUCUGUUUCAUGAUCCAUAAACCCCCUAACAAAAUCCCUCAGACACCAGGGAAAAAGCCGCCUUUGUGGUUCUAUUUUUAAUCUCUCUAUUUUUUAAUUCUCCUCAUUUCACCUUUAAAACUUCUCCUUGCUUCAAAUUUUUGAAUAUGCUCAAUUUACAAUGGCACUUGUAUUGCUAUUGCAAUGCCCUGCUAUUCCUAAAUAAAUAUAAUUAAUCCUUAGAGAAUCUUUCUGUCUGAUUGCUAUUUUGUUUAACAGCAGU
Long non-coding RNA from Heterocephalus glaber (naked mole-rat), 732 nucleotides. The record is from Ensembl. Lineage: Eukaryota; Metazoa; Chordata; Mammalia; Rodentia; Bathyergidae.